RNAcentral lists this ribosomal RNA (253 nucleotides) under uncultured bacterium. RNAcentral's name for it is "partial 16S ribosomal RNA". It matches the Rfam family "Bacterial small subunit ribosomal RNA", at positions 524 to 776 of the family's 1533-position model. The record is from RNAcentral.
UACGUAGGGUGCGAGCGUUGUCCGGAUUUAUUGGGCGUAAAGAGCGUGUAGGCGGCCAGGUAGGUCGGUUGUGAAAACUCGAGGCUCAACCUCGAGAUGUCGACCGAAACCAUCUGGCUAGAGUCCGGAAGAGGAGAAUGGAAUUCCCGGUGUAGCGGUGAAAUGCGCAGAUAUCGGGAAGAACACCCGUGGCGAAGGCGGUUCUCUGGGACGGUACUGACGCUGAGACGCGAAAGCGUGGGGAGCGAACAGG